AACGCGAAGAACCUUACCUGGUCUUGACAUCCACGGAAGUUUUCGGAGAUGAGAAUGUGCCUUCGGGAACCGUGAGACAGGUGCUGCAUGGCUGUCGUCAGCUCGUGUUGUGAAAUGUUGGGUUAAGUCCCGCAACGAGCGCAACCCUUAUCCUUUGUUGCCAGCGGUCCGGCCGGGAACUCAAAGGAGACUGCCAGUGAUAAACUGGAGGAAGGUGGGGAUGACGUCAAGUCAUCAUGGCCCUUACGACCAGGGCUACACACGUGCUACAAUGGCGCAUACAAAGAGAAGCGACCUCGCGAGAGCAAGCGGACCUCAUAAAGUGCGUCGUAGUCCGGAUUGGAGUCUGCAACUCGACUCCAUGAAGUCGGAAUCGCUAGUAAUCGUGGAUCAGAAUGCCACGGUGAAUACGUUCCCGGGUCUUGUACACACCG
Molecule: ribosomal RNA, 434 nt
Filed under: uncultured bacterium
Lineage: Bacteria
Description: bacterial SSU rRNA
Rfam family: Bacterial small subunit ribosomal RNA
Source: RNAcentral